GCUGGUUCACCAUUGCUGACCCCGCCAAGGCCAUAGCGCAGUGUGUGGAGAAUCAUCUCAGCCUUCACAAGGAGGAGAAUCCAUUGCAGCUAACCAUGGACAUAAGAAGUAGUCCUACCGAACAGGACAUGGCCCUGAUCUCCUUUAACAAGCCGCCAAAUGUGGAAUGGGGACGACCCCUGAACUGCAGACUUGAAGGAGAUACUGCUAUUGGCCAGGGUGUGACUCGCUUUUUUUUGUCCUCCUGCAUUGAAAAGCUGAAGUCUGGAUUUUCCAUAAAUUUUGCAAAUGCCGAUGUAACACGGCUUUUUGAUGGCGAGCCUGGCCAUUUGGUCCCAUCAGCCUCUCAUUUUCUUGUCGAAAGUGACUUGUUCAUGGUGGCGGGGAGAAUGCUAGGCCACUCUUUCCUUCACGGAGGACCGUCCUUGUCUGGACUCAGCCCUGCUGUUGUUCAUGUACUGCUUGGUGGGAGUCCUGAAACGGCAACUCUAACUUUGGAGGAUUGUCCAGACCUGGACAUCAGAGAAAUAAUAAGGCUUCUCGGAGGAGAAUCCACACUAUCGGAGAAGGAUGCAGCAAGUGUCCAGGAAUUGGCCUACGCCUGGGACCUUCCAUCCAUAACUGAGACCAA
Gadus morhua (Atlantic cod) is the source of this 631-nucleotide long non-coding RNA. RefSeq lists it as uncharacterized. The transcript has 4 exons. The record is from RefSeq and is a predicted model, not a curated record. Lineage: Eukaryota; Metazoa; Chordata; Actinopteri; Gadiformes; Gadidae.